AUUAUCUUAAAAAAAAAGAUUUUAUUAUCAUUUUACGAUUAUAAAUGGGUAAAGUAAAAAAAAUUCAAGAAUGCAAAAAAAUAAAAGUAAGACGACAAUUAUUCGUAAAACCAAUAGCUAUUGUUAAACCCUAUGUGCCGGAAAAUAAAUAUAAAGCACCUCAAAUAUAUGUACCUCAAGUGGUAGAAACAAGACCACUUGAGGAAUCAGACGAGGAAACGUAUGAAGAUCAAUUGGAAAUCUACGACGAUCUUCCUGAAAUAGACGAUGAACAAGUACGAAUACUUGACAGAAUUGUUAGACGAAUAGAUGUUCAUUUAAUAAAAUUUAAACCUUCCAUUUAAAAUGUAAAAAGAAUUUCUACUAUUGUAACAGCAAAUAUAACAACUUUAACGAACUUCCCAACUAUGUAUUUGAUUACCAUGUGAAUCGUACAUAUACGGAUUUAGUUUAGGUUUUUCUGAAUUGUAUGGUUUAACAACUGCAACAGGUUUUGGUUUAUCAAACUGUUGUAAUGGUUUGUUCUUUGAUUCCAUCUGUAUAAAAUUUAAAUACAUUUCGCCUUUUUUAUAUAUUUUUUUAUAACGCUAGAUUAACUUUAAACAAAAGAAAAUAAUCUUUUUUUUUAACAAAAAUUUAACGGGAUUAAAUAUGUCAUAAUAUUAUUUAUGACGUUAUUUAUGACGUUAUUUUUAUGGAUGGGAACGGGUUGGGAAUGGACGGAGAGCUAUAAUCGGAGAGGGGCAGAUCAUCAUAUACGAAUAUAUUAAUUGUAAUAUUUAAGUCAAUAUCAUUUAUUCAUUAAUAUUAGUUAUAAUUAAAAUAUUAUUAUAGUUAAAAUAUUAUUAUAAUUUUUCAAUCAUAAUAAUAAUAUGCGUUUGUAUUAUUUAACAAUACCAUUAUGAUAAUUAUAAUGUAAUGAAAGAUGUAAAUCCAAUUUGCUUUGGUAAUGGCAAGAGUUCAAUGUUGUAGUUUAUUAAAGAAAUCCACUAGCUGCUUUGGCCUCAAGAAACAGCUGCCACAAAAUAGGCAUAAUAAGAAAUGCGUUCAUAUUAAAUAAUAAACACUGACCUAUCUAUCCAUAAUUAUGGUUAUUGAAAAGUGGAGGUAAGUAAAAUAGGACUAAUUCUAUUAUCAUACUCUACCAUCUAUGCUUACAUUUUUUGAUUGAUAAACACAGUGGGUAGCAUUCAUUUAUACCUUAUGAUUAAAAAAAAAGUUAUAAAUUACUUUUCAGGGUUCAAGCUCAAGCUAAAAAGAAGAACUACAAACAACACAAACGAUGAUGCAUUAAUCACUUCCUACACCACUAAAUCUAUAUGUCUAAUUGUACUUACAUUUCACAAAAGGUUUUGUAAACCAGUGCUGAAAGCUGAUAUUAAUGAGCAGUGGCAGAAACAAGCCUGCAUCGGACAAACCAUGAAUGCACCUCUCUCAGAAGCCUUGACUUUUCCACUCCAAGAGAUAAAUGAUCUUCUGAAAAUCAACCCAAUUGCAAGAUUCUGAGUAGCGAUCAAGAACAGUGCAGUAAGAAAACUAUCCCUAAGCGACGACUAGUCAACCAGACAAGAUGCUGCCAAAAUGGUUAUCAAGUUCAAUUGACAUGGAUAUCCUCAAAAAAUUGCUAGGAGAGGCGUAGAGCAAAGUUCUUUAGAAGACAUUUAAUUUUUAUAUUAAAUGUAAUGAAGUGUUUUUUAUAAUACUUUUAUGUUCUUUUUUACAUUGUUGUUUUAUCGAAUGCUGGUUGAGAAUAUUUGUCGAAUAAAUUUUUUUUAUAUGA
Molecule: RNA transcript, 1780 nt
Organism: Hydra vulgaris (swiftwater hydra)
Lineage: Eukaryota; Metazoa; Cnidaria; Hydrozoa; Anthoathecata; Hydridae
Source: RefSeq, a predicted model, not a curated record